AUGUCCCAUCCCUCCAAGCCCACCCUGCCUCACUUACCCCAUCUGAGACCAUCAUGUACCCAUGUUCCCCACAGCCCAGCCUCAAGGCCCAGGACCUCCCAUACCCCUCUGUGUACCCCUCCCCAGGCUCAGAGACACUCACCCAGGUGCUGCCCGACCCCUGGGUGCUGCCGGCUGCUGCUCUGCUCAACUUUGGCCAGGAGCAGUGGGUGGCACCCGCCACACCCCAGCUUCCUGCUGCUGUCUCACCCAGCCCCAUGGAGCUCUGCCAUGGGCAUGCAGGUAAACCCUGAGCCCCAGCAGCACCAAAACCAGCAACCCUUGGGGGAUCCUGAACACCCAUGGGGGGUCCAAACAGCCAUAGGGGGUCCUGAAGCCCAGGGAAGGCCCUGCAGCCUCAUGAGCUUGGGGAGCUGCUGGGAAGGCUUUCCCUUCCCUUCCCUUCCCUUCCCUUCCCUUCCCUUCCCUUCCCUUCCCUCCCUUUCCCUUGCACUUCCUUCCCUUCCUUCCCUUCGCUUCCUUCCGCUUCCUCCCUUCCCUUCCCUUCCCUUGCCCUUCCCUCCCCUUCCGCUCCUCCCUUCCCUUCGCCUUCCCCUUCCCCUCCUUCCCUCCCUCCCCUUCCCUCCCCUUCCCUCCCCCUCCCCCCCCUUCCCUCCCCUUCCCUUCUCUUUCCUUCUCUUCCUACCCCUUCCUCUUCUCCUUUCCUUCCCUUCCCUCCACUCCCCUUUUCUCCCCUCCAUUCUCCUCCUCUCCCCAUCCCCUCCCCUUUCCCAUGCCAACACACGGACACAGCCAUGGCAAAGCUGCCUCCCAAGAAGCAAUAAGUUCCCAGCAGCCCCCCAGGAAUGUUCUGUUCAUCCCGAGCCCACUCAAAAGGUGCCCACAUAUUCUGCAGAGGGCAGCACGACAUCGGUGUUGGACCAUCACAUCAUUCCCAGUGCCAUUUCUGGGGGCAAAUCUGUGUUUUUCAGCCAAGUGCUGAAAGUCCAGAACCAUGGGGAUGUGGCACUGAGGGAUGUGGGCAUGGGGGAGUGGACUGGGGUUGGGCUGGGUGAUCUGAGAGGUCUUUUCUAA
Molecule: long non-coding RNA, 1074 nt
Filed under: Coturnix japonica (Japanese quail)
Lineage: Eukaryota; Metazoa; Chordata; Aves; Galliformes; Phasianidae
Description: lncRNA (ENSCJPG00005012999.1)
Source: RNAcentral